Molecule: ribosomal RNA, 312 nt
Filed under: Acinetobacter sp. S(2010)
Lineage: Bacteria; Pseudomonadati; Pseudomonadota; Gammaproteobacteria; Moraxellales; Moraxellaceae
Description: bacterial SSU rRNA
Rfam family: Bacterial small subunit ribosomal RNA
Source: RNAcentral
AUCUUCGGACCUUGCGCUAAUAGAUGAGCCUAAGUCGGAUUAGCUAGUUGGUGGGGUAAAGGCCUACCAAGGCGACGAUCUGUAGCGGGUCUGAGAGGAUGAUCCGCCACACUGGGACUGAGACACGGCCCAGACUCCUACGGGAGGCAGCAGUGGGGAAUAUUGGACAAUGGGGGGAACCCUGAUCCAGCCAUGCCGCGUGUGUGAAGAAGGCCUUAUGGUUGUAAAGCACUUUAAGCGAGGAGGAGGCUACUUUAGUUAAUACCUAGAGAUAGUGGACGUUACUCGCAGAAUAAGCACCGGCUAACUCUG